RNAcentral lists this ribosomal RNA (404 nucleotides) under uncultured bacterium. RNAcentral describes it as "partial 16S ribosomal RNA". It matches the Rfam family "Bacterial small subunit ribosomal RNA", at positions 338 to 734 of the family's 1533-position model. The record is from RNAcentral.
CCUACGGGAGGCAGCAGUGGGGAAUAUUGCGCAAUGGGCGAAAGCCUGACGCAGCGACGCCGCGUGAGGGAUGAAGGUCUUCGGAUCGUAAACCUCUGUCAGCAGGGAAGAACGGUCACUGUGCUAAUCAGCAGUGAAUUGACGGUACCUGCAAAGGAAGCACCGGCUAACUCCGUGCCAGCCGCCGCGGUAAUACGGAGGGUGCGAGCGUUAAUCGGAAUUACUGGGCGUAAAGGGCUCGUAGGCGGUAUGUCAAGUCAGGGGUGAAAUCCCGCCGCUCAACGUGGGAACUGCCUUUGAUACUGGCAAACUUGAGUGUGUGUGAGGAUAGUGGAAUUCGAGGUGUAGGAGUGAAAUCCGUAGAUAUCAGGAGGAACAUCAGUGGCGAAGGCGACUAUCUGGCA